Molecule: microRNA precursor, 103 nt
Filed under: Marmota monax (woodchuck)
Lineage: Eukaryota; Metazoa; Chordata; Mammalia; Rodentia; Sciuridae
Source: RNAcentral
AGUGGAAUAGCUGGGUCGAAUGCUCGUUCCAUUCCAUGUUUUCUGAGGAGUCUUCAUACUUCUUUCCAGAGUGAUUGCAACAAUUUGCAGUCCCACCAGCAAU